RNAcentral lists this ribosomal RNA (433 nucleotides) under uncultured bacterium. RNAcentral's name for it is "partial 16S ribosomal RNA". It matches the Rfam family "Bacterial small subunit ribosomal RNA", at positions 29 to 507 of the family's 1533-position model. The record is from RNAcentral.
AACGAACGCUGGCGGCAUGCCUAACACAUGCAAGUCGAACGAGACCUUCGGGUCUAGUGGCGCACGGGUGCGUAACGCGUGGGAACCUGCCCUUAGGUUCGGAAUAACUCCCCGAAAGGGGUGCUAAUACCGGAUAAUGUCUUCGGACCAAAGAUUUAUCGCCUUUGGAUGGGCCCGCGUUGGAUUAGCUAGUUGGUAGGGUAAAAGCCUACCAAGGCGACGAUCCAUAGCUGGUCUGAGAGGAUGAUCAGCCACACUGGGACUGAGACACGGCCCCGGCUCCCACGGGAGGGAGCAGUGGGGUAUAUUGGGCAAUGGGCGAAAGCCUGGACCCGCAAUGGCGCGUGAGUGAUGAAGGGCUUAGGGUUGUAAAGCUCUUUUACCCGGGAUGAUAAUGACAGUACCGGGAGAAUAAGCUCCGGCUAACUCCGUG